UACGUAGGGUGCAAGCGUUAAUCGGAAUUACUGGGCGUAAAGCGUGCGCAGGCGGUUUUGUAAGACAGGCGUGAAAUCCCCGGGCUUAACCUGGGAAUUGCGCUUGUGACUGCAAGGCUGGAGUGCGGCAGAGGGGGAUGGAAUUCCGCGUGUAGCAGUGAAAUGCGUAGAUAUGCGGAGGAACACCGAUGGCGAAGGCAAUCCCCUGGGCCUGCACUGACGCUCAUGCACGAAAGCUAGGGGAGCAAACGGG
Molecule: ribosomal RNA, 253 nt
Filed under: uncultured bacterium
Lineage: Bacteria
Description: partial 16S ribosomal RNA
Rfam family: Bacterial small subunit ribosomal RNA
Source: RNAcentral